This is a non-coding RNA of Cinara cedri, 554 nucleotides long. The record is from the annotation of a GenBank genome assembly. Lineage: Eukaryota; Metazoa; Arthropoda; Insecta; Hemiptera; Aphididae.
GACAUCGCCGCCGUACUCCUCCGCUCGGCUACAGCUCUCGCGCGAGCCGCUCUCCGACGAAGUGCACCAGUGUAAAGUGCGUGCGAGUGCGUGUGCGUGGGUUCGCCGAUUGUGCGCGCGCUGUGUAUGUGUGUGCGUGUGUGUGUGUGUGUGUGUUUGUGCGUGUUCGCCGAUUGCCGACGACAUUACGGGAACACCGCGGGUCAGUGUGCGCCGGUGCGUGACAAUCGUUCGCGCGCGGAUUUUAUUAUCAUUUUUUUUUUUUCCCCAUUAUUUUUUUCGCGGAUUUUUUUUCCCCCGCCCACGAUAAUCUACGGCUGUCGCGAUACCUAACCUCAUCCGUAAUUACGUUCGCGCACAGCAGCUGAUGACUUACGUAUUAUAACGUAAACGUACCGGCAUGCGAACGCAUCGACCACAACAACAACAACAACAAUAACAAUAACAUUAAUUUUAAACCGUGCCGUCGAACGCGCGGCGAUACGCAUACGGACAUGCCCUGUGGAUAGACCCGUCACGGCCCGCGUACCCGCGACUUUCCCGAACUAAAGGUU